UAGGGAAUCUUCGGCAAUGGGGGGAACACUGACCGAGCAACGCCGCGUGAGUGAAGAAGGUUUUCGGAUCGUAAAGCUCUGUUGUUAAGGAAGAACGAGUGUGAGAAUGGAAAGUUCAUACUGUGACGGUACUUAACCAGAAAGGGACGGCUAACUACGUGCCAGCAGCCGCGGUAAUACGUAGGUCCCGAGCGUUGUCCGGAUUUAUUGGGCGUAAAGCGAGCGCAGGCGGUUAGAUAAGUCUGAAGUUAAAGGCAGUGGCUCAACCAUUGUAGGCUUUGGAAACUGUUUAACUUGAGUGCAGAAGGGGAGAGUGGAAUUCCAUGUGUAGCGGUGAAAUGCGUAGAUAUAUGGAGGAACACCGGUGGCGAAAGCGGCUCUCUGGUCUGUAACUGACGCUGAGGCUCGAAAGCGUGGGUAGCAAACAGG
This 429-nucleotide ribosomal RNA is filed under the name Bacteroidota bacterium. RNAcentral's name for it is "Bacteroidetes bacterium partial 16S ribosomal RNA". It matches the Rfam family "Bacterial small subunit ribosomal RNA", at positions 355 to 776 of the family's 1533-position model. The record is from RNAcentral. Lineage: Bacteria; Pseudomonadati; Bacteroidota.